CAAGCCUAAUACAUGCAAGUCGGACGGUAACAUAAGGUGCUUGCACCUUGAUGACGAGUGGCGCACGGGUGCGUAACGCGUAUAGAACCUACCCUGUACAGGGGGAUAGCCCAGAGAAAUUUGGAUUAAUACCCCGUGGUAACUAUAAAUGGCAUCAUUUAUAGUUUAAAGUUUUCGGAUGGUACAGGAUGGCUAUGCGUCCUAUUAGUUAGAUGGUGAGGUAACGGCUCACCAUGGCAUCGAUAGGUAGGGGCCCUGAGAGGGGGAUCCCCCACACUGGUACUGAGACACGGACCAGACUCCUACGGGAGGCAGCAGUGAGGAAUAUUGGACAAUGGGCGCAAGCCUGAUCCAGCCAUGCCGCGUGCACGAAGACGGCCCUAUGGGUUGUAAACUGCUUUUAUACGGGAAGAAAAACACACACGUGUACCCGGCUGACGGUACCGUAAGAAUAAGGACCGGCUAACUCCGUGCCAGCAGCCGCGGUAAUACGGAGGAUCCAAGCGUUAUCCGGAAUCAUUGGGUUUAAAGGGUCCGUAGGUGGACAAUUAAGUCAGAGGUGAAAGUCUGCAGCUCAACUGUAGAAUUGCCUUUGAUACUGGUUGUCUUGAAUCAUUGUGAAGUAGUUAGAAUAUGUAGUGUAGCGGUGAAAUGCAUAGAUAUUACAUAGAAUACCGAUUGCGAAGGCAGAUUACUAACAAUGUAUUGACACUGAUGGACGAAAGCGUGGGGAGCGAACAGGAUUAGAUACCCUGGUAGUCCACGCCGUAAACGAUGGUCACUAGCUGUUCGGACUUCGGUCUGAGUGGCUAAGCGAAAGUGAUAAGUGACCCACCUGGGGAGUACGUUCGCAAGAAUGAAACUCAAAGGAAUUGACGGGGGCCCGCACAAGCGGUGAAGCAUGUGGUUUAAUUCGAUGAUACGCGAGGAACCUUACCAGGGCUUAAAUGCAGAAUGAAAGAGCUAGAGAUACACAUUUCUUCGGACAAUCUACAAGGUGCUGCAUGGUUGUCGUCAGCUCGUGCCGUGAGGUGUCAGGUUAAGUCCUAUAACGAGCGCAACCCCUGCCGUCAGUUGCCAGCAAGUAAAGUCGGGAACUCUAACAAGACUGCCAGUGCAAACCGCGAGGAAGGUGGGGACGACGUCAAAUCAUCACGGCCCUUACGUCCUGGGCUACACACGUGCUACAAUGGCAGAGACAGAGAGCAGCCACUCCGC
RNAcentral lists this ribosomal RNA (1218 nucleotides) under uncultured bacterium. Its description in RNAcentral is "bacterial SSU rRNA". It matches the Rfam family "Bacterial small subunit ribosomal RNA", at positions 43 to 1258 of the family's 1533-position model. The record is from RNAcentral.